Molecule: ribosomal RNA, 463 nt
Filed under: uncultured bacterium
Lineage: Bacteria
Description: partial 16S ribosomal RNA
Rfam family: Bacterial small subunit ribosomal RNA
Source: RNAcentral
GACGAACGCUGGCGGCGUGCUUAACACAUGCAAGUCGAACGGAAAGGCCUUUUCGGAGGUACUCGAGUGGCGAACGGGUGAGUAACACGUGGGUGAUCUGCCCUGCACUCUGGGAUAAGCCUGGGAAACUGGGUCUAAUACCGGAUAGGACCGCACUUUAGUGUGUGUGGUGGAAAGUUUUUUCGGUGUAGGAUGAGCCCGCGGCCUAUCAGCUUGUUGGUGGGGUAAUGGCCUACCAAGGCGGCGACGGGUAGCCGGACUGAGAGGUUGGUCGGCCACAUUGGGACUGGGAUACGGCCCAGACUCCUACGGGAGGCAGCAGUGGGGAAUAUUGCACAAUGGGCGCAAGCCUGAUGCAGCGACGCCGCGGGGGGGAUGACGGCCUUCGGGUUGUAAACUCCUUUCGCCAGGGACGAAGCGUUUUGUGACGGUACCUGGAGAAGAAGCACCGGCUAACUACGUG